UCUUCUCCUCCUCUCUCCGCUCUCACCCGUUUCACUGGCUGGAUGGCCAAAUCACCCCUGACAGGCCGGAGCUUUUCAUGCGGCGCUGCGAGUGUUUGUGUGGCACACUGUACAAAAGAGCAGGGACACACAGGACCCUCUUCAGCACGUCAGGCUGCCCCCUGUUUGCUCAGACUGCCGAGGGGCUUCACGGGGCCGGAGGUCCGUCUGCCGUCGAUGAAGGCACGUCUGGAUCCCAACUGGAUGCUCAUCAACUCCACGAGGACCUCCUAACUUCAAACUGAAGCUCCUCUCCCGUCGGAGAAACUGAGGCAGCAGGAAUGAUGAUCAGACUGGGAAGACUGACACCGGGAUACUUCCGCCUCCUCCAGAGGCAGAUGUCGGGUGAGGUCCAGAUUCAGCCGCAGAGCAGCCUCAUCGAUCCUAUCGCCAUGACGAUGGCCGCGGUGGGGAUGGGAGUGUCUCUGUACAGCGCCAGGCGGAUGUCAGAGAGAGUCCAGCUGAAGCGGCCAAACGCCUGAGAGAUCUCACCUGUUCACCGGUUCAGUUUCUGCGGUUCAUGCGACAUGUGUUUGUGAACGUCAGAGAAAGUCAGCGGAGGAGGAGUGUGUUUAUGUGUGUGGGUGUGUCUGUUUGGUGCUAGAAGGAAAAUCUAAGUGUCCCCGAAGGAAAAUGUGAGUCGGUCAUCAGCAUGUCGCAUGUGUGAAGCUGUAGUUUGAUAACCCUACGUGUUGUGUGCAGGAUGUCUUUAAAAGGAGUGCGUAUUAAAUCAGAGAUUUGUACUUUAAUUCAGUUAAUCAUCAAUUAACAAACAGCAUUAGAGUUUAGUUUUAAUUUAAAAAUGUGUAUAAUACAGAUGUAAUUCAAUUCAAUUUUAUUUAUAUAGAACCAAAUCACAACAAG
Molecule: non-coding RNA, 903 nt
Organism: Maylandia zebra (zebra mbuna)
Lineage: Eukaryota; Metazoa; Chordata; Actinopteri; Cichliformes; Cichlidae
Source: RefSeq, a predicted model, not a curated record